RNAcentral lists this ribosomal RNA (274 nucleotides) under uncultured bacterium. RNAcentral describes it as "partial 16S ribosomal RNA". It matches the Rfam family "Bacterial small subunit ribosomal RNA", at positions 523 to 796 of the family's 1533-position model. The record is from RNAcentral.
AUACGGAGGGGGCUAGCGUUGUUCGGAAUUACUGGGCGUAAAGCGCACGUAGGCGGUUUACCAAGUUAGGCGUGAAAGCCCCAGGCUCAACCUGGGAACUGCGUUUAAUACUGGUAAACUAGAGACCGGGAGAGGGUGGCGGAAUUCCCAGUGUAGAGGUGAAAUUCGUAGAUAUUGGGAAGAACACCAGUUGCGAAGGCGGCCACCUGGACCGGUACUGACGCUGAGGUGCGAAAGCGUGGGGAGCAAACAGGAUUAGAAACCCUAGUAGUCC